Canis lupus familiaris (dog) is the source of this 582-nucleotide non-coding RNA. NCBI's taxonomy places the organism in Eukaryota, Metazoa, Chordata, Mammalia, Carnivora, Canidae. The record is from the annotation of a RefSeq genome assembly.
AUGGAGUCUGUGCUCUGCUGGGUUUUCCUUGUCGCUAUUUUAAAAGGUUUCCAGGGUGAGGUGCAGCUGGUGGAGUCUGGGGGAGACCUGGUGAAGCCUGGGGGAUCCCUGAGACUCUCCUGUGUGACCUCUGGAUUCACCUUCAUUAGCUACUAUAUGGCAUGGGUCCGCCAGGCUCCAGGGAAGGGGCUGCAGUUGGUCACAUGGAUUAGCAGUGAUGGAAGUAGCACAUACUACCCAGACGCUGUGAAGGGCCGAUUCACCAUCUCCAGAGACAAUGUCAAGAACACGCUGUAUCUGCAGAUGAACAGCCUGAGAUCCGAGGACACGGCGGUGUAUUACUGUGCGAAGGACACAGUGAGUAGCUACUACAUGUACUGGAUCUACCAAGCUCCAGGGAAGGGGCUGCAGGGGGUCGCAUGGAUUAGCUGUGAUGGAAGUAGCACAAGCUACGUUGACGCAAUGAAGAGCGAAUUCAUCAUCUCCAGAGAAAACGCCAAGAACACGUUCUAUCUGCAGAUGAACAGCCUGAGAGCCAAGGACAUGGCAGUAUAUUCCUGUGCGAGGAACACUGUGAGGUGA